GCGUGCCAAGCCUUACAAGAACCUUCCCACCAUUGCAAAUUUGCAAGGUCACGGCUUUUGAUAAUUUUUAGCUGUGUGUUUUGUACUUUCAUCACUUCGACAUGUUAUGAUUUGAUGAUUGGAUAAUUACUUCGUAUGGGUUACUAACACAGGAUGGAGAAUCUGGCAAAGGAGCUGGGUGUAGUUAUAUCGGAAUUCAUAUAUUCCUGAUGGACCUGGUGGGUAUCAAGAGAAGUUUUAUUCAAUCCUGGAGACACUGGCUUUAAGGUGCCUCUAGUCGCUUCGGAUCGCAUAGGGAAGGAAGUGAUUGAAACUGAGCAUGGACAAAGUCAGAUCACUUUCUAUGGGAACUCCUUCAUUGCUGGUGAAAUUGUGUCUGAGGCUGAUGAUAAAACGGAAGCUGUUCUCGUGUCACAGUUCAGUCUUGAGAAGAUCAAGUCGAAGAGGCAAAGCUGGGGAGGUGUUCCGUGACAGCCGGUCAGAUUUGUACAAGGUGCUUCUCACAACGGACGGUAAUCUUUGAUAGAUUUUGAUGUUGAUGCAAACUAAUAAAUACAGCGCAAAAU
Molecule: long non-coding RNA, 566 nt
Organism: Brassica oleracea var. oleracea
Lineage: Eukaryota; Viridiplantae; Streptophyta; Magnoliopsida; Brassicales; Brassicaceae
Exons: 5
Source: RefSeq, a predicted model, not a curated record